AUUCCAGUAUAAAUAUAUUCCAUGUUAUAUUUGGGACAUACUUAUAUUAAAA
Molecule: microRNA precursor, 52 nt
Filed under: Myotis davidii
Lineage: Eukaryota; Metazoa; Chordata; Mammalia; Chiroptera; Vespertilionidae
Description: mir-1302 microRNA precursor family
Rfam family: mir-1302 microRNA precursor family
Source: Rfam by way of RNAcentral